Molecule: ribosomal RNA, 500 nt
Filed under: uncultured bacterium
Lineage: Bacteria
Description: partial 16S ribosomal RNA
Rfam family: Bacterial small subunit ribosomal RNA
Source: RNAcentral
AUUGAACGCUGGCGGAAUGCUUUACACAUGCAAGUCGAACGGCAGCACGGACUUCGGUCUGGUGGCGAGUGGCGAACGGGUGAGUAAUGUAUCGGAACGUGCCCAGUCGUGGGGGAUAACGUCGUGAGAAUUACGCUAAUACCGCAUACGAUCUAUGGAUGAAAGCGGGUGAUCGCAAGACCUCGCGCGAUUGGAGCGGCCGAUAUCAGAUUAGGUAGUUGGUGGGGUAAAGGCCCACCAAGCCAACGAUCUGUAGCUGGUCUGAGAGGACGACCAGCCACACUGGAACUGAGACACGGUCCAGACUCCUACGGGAGGCAGCAGUGGGGAAUUUUGGACAAUGGGCGAAAGCCUGAUCCAGCCAUUCCGCGUGCAGGAUGAAGGCCCUCGGGUUGUAAACUGCUUUUGUACAGAACGAAAAGGUUUCUACUAAUACUAGGAGCUCAUGACGGUACUGUAAGAAUAAGCACCGGCUAACUACGUGCCAGCCGCCGCCGUAA